UUCUUCUUCUCUUGAGUUUUUUAAAUCAUGUUUUAGUGGAAGCAAACAAGAUAAUAUUCUCUGAUGUGGUUCUCAAAUAUGCAAAGGAAAUAUUUAAGAUUAGGAAUUUGAUGGUUGAAUACUUAAGCACAGUCAGUGACUAAAAAGCUGACCCAGAAAAUGUGGAUAUCACCAAAUGAUGACAAGCUUACUUCCUGGAUGGUGAUGUCAUCCUGUUGACUCAGGAGAAAUGAAGAACUGGAUUAAAUGAAGAAUGUUCUUGGGCUGCUUUCUUCCAAUGAACUCCAAAUAAUAAUUAAAGUUACUGGUUACUGAACA
Long non-coding RNA from Suricata suricatta (meerkat), 318 nucleotides. RefSeq lists it as uncharacterized. The transcript is spliced from 2 exons. Lineage: Eukaryota; Metazoa; Chordata; Mammalia; Carnivora; Herpestidae. The record is from RefSeq and is a predicted model, not a curated record.